UGGGGAAUUUUGGACAAUGGGCGAAAGCCUGAUCCAGCAAUGCCGCGUGUGUGAAGAAGGCCUUCGGGUUGUAAAGCACUUUUGUCCGGAAAGAAAUGGCUCUGGUUAAUACCUGGGGUCGAUGACGGUACCGGAAGAAUAAGGACCGGCUAACUACGUGCCAGCAGCCGCGGUAAUACGUAGGGUCCAAGCGUUAAUCGGAAUUACUGGGCGUAAAGCGUGCGCAGGCGGUUGUGCAAGACCGAUGUGAAAUCCCCGAGCUUAACUUGGGAAUUGCAUUGGUGACUGCAGGGCUAGAGUGUGUCAGAGGGGGGUAGAAUUCCACGUGUAGCAGUGAAAUGCGUAGAGAUGUGGAGGAAUACCGAUGGCGAAGGCAGCCCCCUGGGAUAACACUGACGCUCAUGCACGAAAGCGUGGGGAGCAAACAGG
RNAcentral lists this ribosomal RNA (429 nucleotides) under bacterium. RNAcentral describes it as "partial 16S ribosomal RNA". It matches the Rfam family "Bacterial small subunit ribosomal RNA", at positions 355 to 776 of the family's 1533-position model. The record is from RNAcentral.